UCUUCAGAUGAUGAUCCCAAGCCUUCUGGCGAUCUAGACAAAACAAGUCCACCGUGGGCUUUGAAAAACGCUUUCCUUGAUAAAAUUUAAGCGUUUUAUAAGAGGAUGCCGGGGAAGGUUUUCCGGUUUAUCCCGGAGGGCUUGUAGCUCAGUUGGUUAGAGCGCGCGCUUGAUAAGCGUGAGGUCGGAGGUUCAAGUCCUCCCAGGCCCACCAGUUUAUCCAUUACUUUCAUAAGUGCUUUUAAAAAAUAAGUACUUCUAAAAAGAUUGCUUCUAAAAAGCUUAUCAAAAUUAGCAGGCUUAUUGCUUUUGUGUGAGUAAUCCAAAGUUAAAGCAAAUUAAUGGCAAAAAAAACAGUUCAAAUGCUAAAUACUAAGGAGUCAAAAUUCCUUGCAAAGUGAUUUUUACAGCGUCCAUUUGGUUGAUAUAAAUUCCAAAUGCUCAUAGACGUCAAUGCCUAUAUGAAACUAUCGGUUCAAUCAUAUCGCUUUGAGUUAUAUAAAUUUUGUAAUCCCUCUUUUGAUCGUUUUAAACGCUUUAUCCUGAUUUAGGGGCCGUAGCUCAGCUGGGAGAGCACCUGCUUUGCAAGCAGGGG
RNAcentral lists this unclassified non-coding RNA (595 nucleotides) under Bartonella henselae. RNAcentral describes it as "partial 16S-23S ribosomal RNA intergenic spacer". The stretch from base 138 to 211 matches the Rfam family "tRNA". The record is from RNAcentral. Lineage: Bacteria; Pseudomonadati; Pseudomonadota; Alphaproteobacteria; Hyphomicrobiales; Bartonellaceae.